Long non-coding RNA from Clupea harengus (Atlantic herring), 3326 nucleotides. Lineage: Eukaryota; Metazoa; Chordata; Actinopteri; Clupeiformes; Clupeidae. The record is from Ensembl.
UGAGAGUGGAGUGGAGUGGCUAACGCUAACGCUAACUCUGGGCUGAGAGUGGAGUGGCGUGGCUAACGCUAACGCUAACUCUGGGCUGAAAGUGGAGUGGAGUGGAGUGGCUAACGCUAACGCUAACACUGGGCUGAGAGUGGAGUGGAGUGGCUAACGCUAACUCUGGGCUGAGAGUGGAGUGGAGUGGCUAACGCUAACGCUAACUCUGGGCUGAGAGUGGAGUGGCUAACGCUAACUCUGGGCUGAGAGUGGAGUGGAGUGGCUAACUCUGCUAACUCUGGGCUGAGAGUGGAGUGGAGUGGCUAAUGCUAACUCUGUGCUGAGAGUGGAGUGGAGUGGCUAACGCUAACUCUGGGCUGAGAGUGGAGUGGAGUGGCUAACGCUAACGCUAACUCUGGGCUGAGAGUGGAGUGGAGUGGCUAACUCUGGGCUGAGAGUGGAGUGGAGUGGCUAACGCUAACGCUAACUCUGGGCUGAGAGUGGAGUGGAGUGGCGUGGCUAACGCUAACUCUGGGCUGAGAGUGGAGUGGAGUGGAGUGGCUAACGCUAACGCUAACUCUGGGCUGAGAGUGGAGUGGAGUGGCGUGGCUAACGCUAACUCUGGGCUGAGAGUGGAGUGGAGUGGCUAACGCUAACUCUGGGCUGAGAGUGGAGUGGAGUGGAGUGGCUAAGGCUAACUCUGGGCUGAGAGUGGAGUGGAGUGGAGUGGCUAACGCUAACUCUGGGCUGAGAGUGGAGUGGAGUGGAGUGGCUAACGCUAACUCUGGGCUGAGAGUGGAGUGGAGGGGAGUGGCUAACGCUAACUCUGUGCUGAGAGUGGAGUGGAGUGGCUAAUGCUAACUCUUGGAGUGGAGUGGAGUGGCUAACGCUAACUCUGGGCUGAGAGUGGAGUGGAGUGGCUAACGCUAACUCUGUGCUGAGAGUGGAGUGGAGUGGCUAACGCUAACGCUAACUCUGGGCUGAGAGUGGAGUGGAGUGAAGUGGAGUGGAGUGGCUAACGCUAACUCUGGGCUGAGAGUGGAGUGGAGUGGAGUGGCUAACGCUAACGCUAACUCUGGGCUGAGAGUGGAGUGGAGUGGCGUGGCUAACGCUAACUCUGGGCUGAGAGUGGAGUGGAGUGGCGUGGCUAACGCUAACUCUGGGCUGAGAGUGGAGUGGAGUGGAGUGGCUAACGCUAACGCUAACACUAACUCUGGGCUGAGAGUGGAGUGGCUAACGCUAACGCUAAUUCUGGGCUGAGAGUGGAGUGGAGUGGAGUGGCUAACGCUAACUCUGGGCUGAGAGUGGAGUGGAGUGGCUAACGCUAACUCUGUGCUGAGAGUGGAGUGGAGUGGCUAACGCUAACGCUAACUCUGGGCUGAGAGUGGAGUGGAGUGAAGUGGAGUGGAGUGGCUAACGCUAACUCUGGGCUGAGAGUGGAGUGGAGUGGAGUGGAGUGGCUAACGCUAACUCUGGGCUGAGAGUGGAGUGGAGUGGCGUGGCUAACGCUAACUCUGGGCUGAGAGUGGAGUGGAGUGGAGUGGCUAACGCUAACUCUGGGCUGAGAGUGGAGUGGCUAACGCUAACGCUAAUUCUGGGCUGAGAGUGGAGUGGAGUGGAGUGGCUAACGCUAACUCUGGGCUGAGAGUGGAGUGGCUAACGCUAACGCUAACUCUGGGCUGAGAGUGGAGUGGAGUGGAGUGGCUAACGCUAACGCUAACUCUGGGCUGAGAGUGGAGUGGAGUGGCUAACGCUAACGCUAACUCUGGGCUGAGAGUGGAGUGGAGUGGAGUGGAGUGGCUAACGCUAACGCUAACUCUGGGCUGAGAGUGGAGUGGCUAACGCUAACGCUAAUUCUGGGCUGAGAGUGGAGUGGAGUGGAGUGGCUAACGCUAACUCUGGGCUGAGAGUGGAGUGGAGUGGCUAACGCUAACUCUGGGCUGAGAGUGGAGUGGAGUGGAGUGGAGUGGCUAACGCUAACUCUGGGCUGAGAGUGGAGUGGAGUGGCUAACGCUAACUCUGGGCUGAGAGUGGAGUGGAGUGGAGUGGAGUGGCUAACGCUAACUCUGGGCUGAGAGUGGAGUGGAGUGGAGUGGAGUGGCUAACGCUAACUCUGGGCUGAGAGUGGAGUGGAGUGGCUAACGCUAACGCUAACUCUGGGCUGAGAGUGGAGUGGAGUGGAGUGGAGUGGAGUGGAGUGGCUAACGCUAACUCUGGGCUGAGAGUGGAGUGGAGGGGAGUGGCUAACGCUAACUCUGGGCUGAGAGUGGAGUGGAGUGGCUAACGCUAACGCUAACUCUGGGCUGAGAGUGGAGUGGAGUGGAGUGGAGUGGAGUGGAGUGGCUAACGCUAACUCUGGGCUGAGAGUGGAGUGGAGGGGAGUGGCUAACGCUAACUCUGGGCUGAGAGUGGAGUGGAGGGGAGUGGCUAACGCUAACUCUGUGCUGAGAGUGGAGUGGAGUGGCUAACGCUAACGCUAAUUCUGGGCUGAGAGUGGAGUGGAGUGGAGUGGAGUGGAGUGGCUAACGCUAACUCUGGGCUGAGAGUGGAGUGGAGUGGCUAACGCUAACGCUAACUCUGGGCUGAGAGUGGAGUGGAGUGGCGUGGCUAACGCUAACUCUGGGCUGAGAGUGGAGUGGAGUGGAGUGGCUAACGCUAACGCUAACUCUGGGCUGAGAGUGGAGUGGCUAACGCUAACGCUAAUUCUGGGCUGAGAGUGGAGUGGAGUGGCUAACGCUAACGCUAACUCUGGGCUGAGAGUGGAGUGGAGUGGCGUGGCUAACGCUAACUCUGGGCUGAGAGUGGAGUGGAGUGGAGUGGCUAACGCUAACGCUAACUCUGGGCUGAGAGUGGAGUGGCUAACGCUAACGCUAAUUCUGGGCUGAGAGUGGAGUGGAGUGGAGUGGCUAACGCUAACUCUGGGCUGAGAGUGGAGUGGAGUGGCUAACGCUAACUCUGGGCUGAGAGUGGAGUGGAGUGGCUAACGCUAACGCUAACUCUGGGCUGAGAGUGGAGUGGAGUGGAGCGGAGUGGCUAACGCUAACUCUGGGCUGAGAGUGGAGUGGAGCGGAGUGGCUAACGCUAACUCUGGGCUGAGAGUGGAGUGGAGUGGCUAACGCUAACGCUAACUCUGGGCUGAGAGUGGAGUGGAGUGGCUAACGCUAACUCUGGGCUGAGAGUGGAGUGGAGUGGCUAACGCUAACGCUAACUCUGUGCUGAGAGUGGAGUGGAGUGGCUAACGCUAACUCUGGGCUGAGAGUGGAGUGGAGUGGCUAACGCUAACGCUAACGCUAACUCUGGGCUGAGAGUGGAGUGGAGUGGCUAACGCUAACGCUAACUCUGGG